RNAcentral lists this ribosomal RNA (492 nucleotides) under uncultured bacterium. RNAcentral's name for it is "partial 16S ribosomal RNA". It matches the Rfam family "Bacterial small subunit ribosomal RNA", at positions 29 to 507 of the family's 1533-position model. The record is from RNAcentral.
AGUGAACGCUGGCGGUAGGCCUAACACAUGCAAGUCGAACGGCAGCACAGUAAGAGCUUGCUCUUACGGGUGGCGAGUGGCGGACGGGUGAGGAAUACAUCGGAAUCUACUUUUUCGUGGGGGAUAACGUAGGGAAACUUACGCUACUACCGCAUACGACCUACGGGUGAAAGCAGGGGAUCUUCGGACCUUGCGCGAUUGAAUGAGCCGAUGUCGGAUUAGCUAGUUGGCGGGGUAAAGGCCCACCAAGGCGACGAUCCGUAGCUGGUCUGAGGGGAUGAUCAGCCACACUGGAACUGAGACACGGUCCAGACUCCUACGGGAGGCAGCAGUGGGGAAUAUUGGACAAAGGGCGCAAGCCUGAUCCAGCCAUACCGCGUGGGUGAAGAAGGCCUUCGGGUUGUAAAGCCCUUUUGUUGGGAAAGAAAAGCAGCAGGUUAAUACCCCGCUGUUCUGACGGUACCCAAAGAAUAAGCACCGGCUAACUUCGUG